RNAcentral lists this ribosomal RNA (301 nucleotides) under uncultured bacterium. Its description in RNAcentral is "partial 16S ribosomal RNA". It matches the Rfam family "Bacterial small subunit ribosomal RNA", at positions 509 to 807 of the family's 1533-position model. The record is from RNAcentral.
CAGUCGCCACGGUAAUACGUAGGGUGCGAGCGUUAAUCGGAAUUACUGGGCGUAAAGCGUGCGCAGGCGGUUUUGUAAGACAGGCGUGAAAUCCCCGGGCUCAACCUGGGAAUGGCGCUUGUGACUGCAAAGCUAGAGUGCGGCAGAGGGGGAUGGAAUUCCGCGUGUAGCAGUGAAAUGCGUAGAUAUGCGGAGGAACGCCGAUGGCGAAGGCAAUCCCCUGGGCCUGCACUGACGCUCAUGCACGAAAGCGUGGGGAGCAAACAGGAUUAGAUACCCCAGUAGUCCCUGUCUCUUAUAC